UGGUAUUUCCACACAAGUUUAAGACGCUAGAGGGGCAAUCAAGGUAUUUCAACGUCUCGGUUCUCUUCCCCAUUAAUGAAGGUGAUUGAAUGUGUCCGUGCGUUUCCAUCCCACCCAACCAAGCGUCGUACUUCAACAAGUUCACCCCUACCUGUUCAGAUAGAACCUCAGUCAAGCGCUGGCUUGCCAAGGGUUGUUCAGGAUGGUGAUUGUCAGGGUUUAGGGUGAUUACGUAGAGGAACCAGCGGUGUUUGGUUGUAAAGGCAACAAUUCUCGACGGUAAAGUAUAUCUGCACACCUUUGUUGGACUUUUUUGUUAGGAUGACAACGAUUCAAUGGCGGUUGAAGAAGAUCCGACGGUGGUGUCAAGGUUGUGGUCGUUUAUCUCAUUUGUGCAUUAGGGUUUGUGUUUUAGAAUAGGGGAAUCGGAUAUAGUUUUAUGCGUGUGUAAAUAUUCGUUUUUUUAUGCAAAUAAGUUAUAUUAUCAUCCUAAGAUUAUUGUUUACAUGAUAUUGUUUUUAUGAAUGAUCAAGAAGGUGAAACGUUGCAUUCAUGAUCCCGGCAGGCCGAGAUAGAGGGCUGCAGGUCAUCAUUGCACCGGGAACCGCCAUUUGCAGUCACACCACCGAUAUUGGUUUUAGAAGAUGCUUUCUUAUGGUUAAAAGAAAGUGGAACUGGUCCAAACUUAGAAGAUGCAGCACAGAGCAGAACCAUGUAGCAGCCGUCGUUACGACAUCGUACAACAUUGGUUCACGUCUCCUUCUACGACAACUAUAAUUUCAUCUCUCUCUCUUUGUGCUUUUAUCACACAAGAUUCUGCUGACCGUGACCUUUUGUUCAGAAACCUUAAGUCAUUUGAUGUUGUCGUAAUUAACCACGUUGCUGAUGGAAAUCGCAACCCAGAGCCAUUUAAUAUUUCUCAAGA
Molecule: long non-coding RNA, 925 nt
Organism: Helianthus annuus (common sunflower)
Lineage: Eukaryota; Viridiplantae; Streptophyta; Magnoliopsida; Asterales; Asteraceae
Exons: 5
Source: RefSeq, a predicted model, not a curated record